AAAAAGACCGUCUCCUACGAUACUGAGGUGGCCGCUUUUGUGGAGAAGGGCAAGAUGAAGAAGGUCACCGGGGUCAAGAUCGAGGACCUGUACUCUUUGGUCGAGGUCUAUGUGGAUGAGUCUUCUGCUGAUGAGGUUACCAUCAAGACCGACACCGGUCUGUCUAACAUCCAUGAUGCGGUCGUGUUCGCUCUUGGGGAAUAG
RNAcentral lists this ribosomal RNA (204 nucleotides) under Triticum aestivum (bread wheat). Its description in RNAcentral is "partial small subunit ribosomal RNA". The record is from RNAcentral. Lineage: Eukaryota; Viridiplantae; Streptophyta; Magnoliopsida; Poales; Poaceae.